This 254-nucleotide ribosomal RNA is filed under the name uncultured bacterium. RNAcentral's name for it is "partial 16S ribosomal RNA". It matches the Rfam family "Bacterial small subunit ribosomal RNA", at positions 524 to 776 of the family's 1533-position model. The record is from RNAcentral.
UACGUAGGGUGCAAGCGUUUGUCCGGAAUUAUUGGGCGUAAAGAGCUCGUAGGUGGUUUGUCGCGUUGUUCGUGAAAACUCACAGCUCAACUGUGGGCGUGCGGGCGAUACGGGCAGACUGGAGUACUGCAGGGGAGACUGGAAUUCCUGGUGUAGCGGUGGAAUGCGCAGAUAUCAGGAGGAACACCGGUGGCGAAGGCGGGUCUCUGGGCAGUAACUGACGCUGAGGAGCGAAAGCGUGGGGAGCGAACAGG